CAGUAGCCGCGGUAAUACGGAGGGGGCUAGCGUUGUUCGGAAUUACUGGGCGUAAAGCGCACGUAGGCGGCUUGGUAAGUUAGAGGUGAAAGCCCGGAGCUCAACUCCGGAAUUGCCUUUAAGACUGCCGAGCUAGUAGGUGAGAGAGGUAAGUGGAAUUCCGAGUGUAGAGGUGAAAUUCGUAGAUAUUCGGAAGAACACCAGUGGCGAAGGCGGCUUACUGGCUCAUACUGGACGCUGAGGUGCGAAAGCGUGGGGAGCAAACAGGAUUAGAUACCCGCGUAGUCCCUGUCUCUUAUAC
RNAcentral lists this ribosomal RNA (301 nucleotides) under uncultured bacterium. RNAcentral's name for it is "partial 16S ribosomal RNA". It matches the Rfam family "Bacterial small subunit ribosomal RNA", at positions 509 to 807 of the family's 1533-position model. The record is from RNAcentral.